This 217-nucleotide small RNA is filed under the name Arabidopsis thaliana (thale cress). RNAcentral's name for it is "ATSL136000". Lineage: Eukaryota; Viridiplantae; Streptophyta; Magnoliopsida; Brassicales; Brassicaceae. The record is from RNAcentral.
CUUUUCCCACAACAUCGAACAAAAGACGAAACACAAAGCAACAUCACAAGUUCACAAUCACAGAUUAUAAUGAGCAUGUUCGUUUAGUUACCGCCGGCGGUUGCGUUUUGCCGCAGGUAGUUGCGGCAACUAAACGAACAUAAAUAGCUGCGUCUGCCGCAGCCGCAGGUAGUUGCGGCGACGAAACGAACAAUCUAAUUAAUUCAUUUUGUUCACA